This 2269-nucleotide unclassified non-coding RNA is filed under the name Hevea brasiliensis (rubber tree). The record is from RNAcentral. Lineage: Eukaryota; Viridiplantae; Streptophyta; Magnoliopsida; Malpighiales; Euphorbiaceae.
UCUCCACCCCACCUAAACAUACAAGUGAGAAUUUGUCAAAGAAUAAUUAACUCAAUAUUUCAGAUCUUUAUAUAUAUCUUCAAACACAACGUGAGAUCGUAAAAGAAGUUUCGUCAUAAAACUUUGACUAAUUAUGUCAUUCAAUAAAUAAAUUUGACAUACAUAAUCAGCUGAAGAAAUUUUGUUGCUGAUUUGUGCAUACGGAAGGCAUUAGUCCGUGAGAAUAUAUGUAAACAAUAGAAGAAAAGAAGAAUGGGUGGUAAUCUGUGUCUGGGCAUAACCAAUGACCUUUUAAUAUCAGAAUGUAAAAAGUAUCGGAUUAAAGGUUGAUUAAGCUCCAAACUUGGGAACUUUGGCAGUGGAGAUUUGAGCAAGAAAAUGCUCUGCUACAAUCCUGCGCUGAAUCUUUCCAGUAGCUGUUUUUGGGAGAGAGUCAGUGAUGAAAACCUUCUUGGGAACCUUGAAACUUGCGAGGUUCUUUUUGCAGUGGCGAAGCACCUCAGCCUCGUCAAUGUCUGAUCCUUCCCUUGGAAUUAUGGCACAAUUUAUCUCUUCCCCAUAUUUAUCAUCUGGGACUCCGAAGGCCACUGCCUGGGCAACGUCUUGAUGAGACAAAAGUACUGCGUCCACUUCAAUCGGUGAGAUCUUCUCGCCUCCACGAUUAAUGAGCUCCUUGAUCCGACCCACGAGAUGCAAGUACCCAUCCGAGUCGAAAAACCCAACAUCUCCGGUAUGGAACCAUCCGAAUUGAAAUGCGGAUUUAUUAGCCUCAGGAUUGUUCUUAUAUCCCUUAGUAACAUUUGGUCCUCUAAUACACACCUCCCCACUAACACCAGCCGGUUGCACCACCCCGUUCUCAUCCAACACCGCCAUUUCUUGACCAACGGGUCUCCCAACAGACCCGGCUUUGUGCCCACCAUCUUCGGGUAACGGGUUAGAAGCCAUCAAAUGAGACGCCUCAGUCAUUGCAUAAGCCUCCAACACUGGCGCCCCAAACACUUCUUCCAGGCGGUCUAAUAUAGAGGGCGCCAAAGAUGCGCUGCAGCUCCUGAUGAACCUCAGUUUCGGGUAAGCCGGCUCUGGCUUGCUGAUGUGGCGGUCGAGUAUGAUUUGGUGAAUCGUGGGGACGGCAGUGUACCACGUGGCUUGAUAUGCAAUCAUGUCCUGCCAGAAAGUCGAGGCCGAGAAUCUUCCGGCUGCUGGAAGAGCGACGGCUGCUCCAGAGACUAGUGAACUCAAUAGUCCAGCGAGUAAACCAUGAACGUGAAACAGAGGCAACACGAGAACAGUGGAAUCAGACUCGGUGAGUCUAUACACAGACUUUAUGUUCAAAACGGAGGAAGCGAGAUUAAGCUGAGUCAAAGGCACGCCUUUGGGGCGGCUGGUUGUUCCAGAGGUGUGGAGGAAGAGCGCCACGUCAGACGAGUCGUUCACGAGUUCACUGACGGAGCCAACAUUUGACUCGGUAUUUGACGAAGAGAGGGUUAUUGUUUUCGUUUUCAAGUGGAACGUAGCUGCCCCAUGAGGUAUGUUGAGCUUGGAAGCAGCGGCUAGAGCCGAUUCGAUGCCUUCUGGUGACGUAAUGAGGAGCUUUGAUUCGGAGUCGGAAAGGUAAAACUCGAAUUCCUCGGCUGUGUAAGCGGCGUUUAGCGGCGCAGCCGUGGCUCGGCACCUUAUAACGGCCAAAAACAUCACCACAAACUCGACCGUGUUUGGGAAAGUGAGAGCGACGACAUCGCCAGGAUUGACACCGGAAGCGAUAAGGAGAGAAGCGGCAUGAUCAACGAGGUGUCGCAAUUGAGAGUGCGUCAAAUCGAGUUGACCAGAAACGGAAAGAGCGCGAUGAUUGGGAAAUUCAGUUGCAGAUUUGUUCAACAACCCAGUCAAGGUGAGGCUCUCCAUUUGGGUAAAGAAUAAGAUUUGAAAUAAGCAGAGAAAUGGUAAAUGAAGUGAGAAAAAGUGUGGAGGCAGAGGGAGAGGCCAAGGCAAUCUUAUAGGGAGGGGUAUGGGGAGAGGUUAUAUCUAGGAAGGUGUGUUGAGAAAAAACGGUCAGUUUGUGUGUGCCAACUGCUAAGGGCAAGGCUUAGGCUUCGAGAAAUGUGACUCUCGUCUAUCAGAAUCAGCGUUUCGUCUUGUUAGCGACGCGUGGAUUUUUGCCAGUCUGGGAAUAUUUGGCUACGUGGGGAGGUUACACCUAAAUUCAGUGGCCACUGAAGCCCUCCUUCUUUGGCUAGUCAAUCAGACGGCGGCGUAGCCACAUGGAGACCAG